This is a small nuclear RNA of Mustela erminea (ermine), 147 nucleotides long. RefSeq annotates it as U4 spliceosomal RNA. The record is from RefSeq and is a predicted model, not a curated record. The transcript has a single exon. NCBI's taxonomy places the organism in Eukaryota, Metazoa, Chordata, Mammalia, Carnivora, Mustelidae.
AGCUUUGCGCAGUGGCAGUAUCGUAGCCAAUGAGGUUUAUCCGAGGCGCGAUUAUUGCUAAUUGUUUCUUUGAAUCCUUAAUAACUAGCAGAGUAGGCAUUUUCAUAUUAGUUGCUGUUUUUAAGGCUCUUAACACAUUUGUUGGGC